CUGCGCCAGAAGGGAGAGCUGAUCCAGGAUCUGGGCUGGGAGGAUGGUCCGAAUGGCAGAGAAGGCGGUGCGAAGGCUCCAGAAUGGCGAAGACAGAGUACCGGCACCCGACCCAAAGGUUCCGUGGAACAACAGGAGCAUAUUCCACAAGCGCCUCCGAGGAAGCCGGAGAGACUGAGCCAAUAUUGGUCACGCAGGGUGGAAGAUGGCGACCUGGAAACGAGACCGAUGGUACCUGAACGUGAACCAGCAGGAGACGGCGGAGUUCGGCGAUACACGACGCCCUACGAGAGGCGAGACGAGUGGAGAGAGCCGAGAUGGGGACGCGUCGACAAAUGGGACAUCCAUUUCGACGGCGACCCAGACCCGGCCAAACUGACGGUGGAGGAUUUUGUCUUUCGGGUCGAAUUUCUCCAGAGGCAGAGUCGACGCUCGUGGGACGAAGUCCUUGAUAAUUUUCACCAUCUGGUGAGAGGACGUGCUGCCGAGUGGUACUGGCAGUUUGUAAGAGAGAGGCCUCCAGAAGUCUGGGAGGACUUAAAGGACGAGCUGGUAUCCCGAUUCCGUGCAGUAGGUGGGCAAUACGAGCGGCUGCGUGCGUUGAAUGAGCGACGGCAAGAACCUGGAGAAUCGGUGGAAGAUUACUUUCGAGCGAUGCGGAAGCUAGCUGCAAGACUGAUCACCCCAAUAGCAGAUUCUGAGAUGGUCAGAGUCGUCAAGAAGGGACUCGAGGAGGAGAUCGCUCGUUAUGUGUACGCGAUCCGAGUCCGGAACCUGGAGCAGCUGAGGGAAGAGUGUGUAGAGGUGGAGCACCUUUUCCGCAGACGCGAGCGAAGGUCAGCUUUUCGCCCGACGCUGAAGUUCCAACAAUCCGGUAAGCGAGUGGAGGAGAUCGAGCCAGAGUCGGAGGAGCUGUUGGAAGGAGAGGAAGAGGUGAUGGUUGAGGAAACCCACCUGACAGCGAAGCCGAGGCUGGGCUGCUGGAAUUGCGGAGAAGUUGGCCACGGGUUUCGAGAGUGUAUGGCCAAGGAACGCAGAGUAUUCUGCUAUCUCUGCGGAAGGCCCGAAACGUACACGCCGAAGUGUCCCAANUUCCGCAGACGCGAGCGAAGGUCAGCUUUUCGCCCGACGCUGAAGUUCCAACAAUCCGGUAAGCGAGUGGAGGAGAUCGAGCCAGAGUCGGAGGAGCUGUUGGAAGGAGAGGAAGAGGUGAUGGUUGAGGAAACCCACCUGACAGCGAAGCCGAGGCUGGGCUGCUGGAAUUGCGGAGAAGUUGGCCACGGGUUUCGAGAGUGUAUGGCCAAGGAACGCAGAGUAUUCUGCUAUCUCUGCGGAAAGCCCGAAACGUACACGCCGAAGUGUCCCAACUGCUCGGGAAACUCAAGAACGGGCAUGAUGAAGGCGGGAUAUCAGAGCUCGGGACGGAAGCCCGCGAGGAAGUGAAGGAAGCGCUAUUGGAGGUUGUAAAAAUUAAGCAUAUUAACCCAAGUAGUAUAGAAAAAAAUAGUUUAAAAUUCUUACCGGUCGAAGAGAGGA
This 1536-nucleotide long non-coding RNA is filed under the name Drosophila guanche. The record is from RNAcentral. Lineage: Eukaryota; Metazoa; Arthropoda; Insecta; Diptera; Drosophilidae.